GCGUUCAUGGCGAAGGUGGCGCUCAGCGCGUCGAGCGUGGUGCGCGCGGCGGGGUCGGUGACGCGACCGCGGAUCGUCCGCAGGAACGCG
RNAcentral lists this transfer RNA (90 nucleotides) under Mycobacterium saskatchewanense. Its description in RNAcentral is "tRNA-Ser". The record is from RNAcentral. Lineage: Bacteria; Bacillati; Actinomycetota; Actinomycetes; Mycobacteriales; Mycobacteriaceae.